GAUGAACGCUGGCGGCGUGCCUAAUACAUGCAAGUCGAGCGAACGGACGAGAAGCUUGCUUUUCUGAUGUUAGCGGCGGACGGGUGAGUAACACGUGGAUAACCUACCUAUAAGACUGGGAUAACUUCGGGAAACCGGAUCUAAUACCGGAUAAUAUUUUGAACCGCAUGGUUCAAAAGUGAAAGACGGUCUUGCUGUCACUUAUAGAUGGAUCCGCGCUGCAUUAGCUAGUUGGUAAGGUAACGGCUUACCAAGGCAACGAUGCAUAGCCGACCUGAGAGGGUGAUCGGCCACACUGGAACUGAGACACGGUCCAGACUCCUACGGGAGGCAGCAGUAGGGAAUAUUGCGCAAUGGGCGAAAGCCUGACGGAGCAACGCCGCGUGAGUGAUGAAGGUCUUCGGAUCGUAAAACUCUGUUAUUAGGGAAGAAAAUAUGUGUAAGUAACUGUGCACAUCUUGACGGUACCUAAUCAGAAAGCCACGGCUAACUACGUG
RNAcentral lists this ribosomal RNA (497 nucleotides) under uncultured bacterium. RNAcentral describes it as "partial 16S ribosomal RNA". It matches the Rfam family "Bacterial small subunit ribosomal RNA", at positions 28 to 507 of the family's 1533-position model. The record is from RNAcentral.